UACGGAGGGAGCUAGCGUUGUUCGGAAUUACUGGGCGUAAAGCGCACGUAGGCGGCUAUUCAAGUCGGGGGGUGAAAGCCCGGGGGCUCAACCCCGGAACUGCCCUCGAAACUAGAUAGCUAGAAUCUUGGAGAGGCGAGUGGAAUUCCGAGUGUAGAGGUGAAAUUCGUAGAUAUUCGGAAGAACACCAGUGGCGAAGGCGACUCGCUGGACAAGUAUUGACGCUGAGGUGCGAAAGCGUGGGGAGCAAACAGG
RNAcentral lists this ribosomal RNA (255 nucleotides) under uncultured bacterium. RNAcentral describes it as "partial 16S ribosomal RNA". It matches the Rfam family "Bacterial small subunit ribosomal RNA", at positions 524 to 776 of the family's 1533-position model. The record is from RNAcentral.